This 359-nucleotide long non-coding RNA is filed under the name Salvia miltiorrhiza (redroot sage). RNAcentral describes it as "long non-coding RNA (SMIL_LNC012225)". The record is from RNAcentral. Lineage: Eukaryota; Viridiplantae; Streptophyta; Magnoliopsida; Lamiales; Lamiaceae.
UGGUGGUAAAAGUCGCGAAUCGGAGUAGCGGAGAGGGUGGCGACUGGCGCGGCGGCGGCAAGGGCGCCGGAUCUGGUUCGGCGGCGGGUGGAAGAAGGUGAAAUUAGGGUUUGGCCGAUGGGGAAAAUGGGGGAGACGAUGGGGGGAGGGGUUCUUUUUCUUUUUGUUUUUUUUGUUUUUCUAUUUCCAUGUGUCAAUUUUUAGUUAUAGUCAACGCUAUAUGAGCUUGUAAUUGCCAGCUCAGGCCGGAGUAUUACCGGAGCUCAAAAUCAUGGCAAAAUCGUUCACGCCCGUAAGUUCAUGGAAAAUUUGAUAAAAAAAAAAAAUCACGAAAAAUUUGGAAAUGGGCCCAAAGUUCA